RNAcentral lists this ribosomal RNA (496 nucleotides) under uncultured bacterium. Its description in RNAcentral is "partial 16S ribosomal RNA". It matches the Rfam family "Bacterial small subunit ribosomal RNA", at positions 29 to 507 of the family's 1533-position model. The record is from RNAcentral.
AUGAACGCUGGCGGCGUGCCUAAUACAUGCAAGUCGAGCGAACAGACGAGGAGCUUGCUCCUCUGACGUUAGCGGCGGACGGGAGAGUAACACGUGGAUAACCUACCUAUAAGACUGGGAUAACUUCGGGAAACCGGAGCUAAUACCGGAUAAUAUAUUGAACCGCAUGGUUCAAUAGUGAAAGACGGUUUUGCUGUCACUUAUAGAUGGAUCCGCGCCGCAUUAGCUAGUUGGUAAGGUAACGGCUUACCAAGGCAACGAUGCGUAGCCGACCUGAGAGGGUGAUCGGCCACACUGGAACUGAGACACGGUCCAGACUCCUACGGGAGGCAGCAGUAGGGAAUCUUCCGCAAUGGGCGAAAGCCUGACGGAGCAACGCCGCGUGAGUGAUGAAGGUCUUCGGAUCGUAAAACUCUGUUAUUAGGGAAGAACAAAUGUGUAAGUAACUAUGCACGUCUUGACGGUACCUAAUCAGAAAGCCACGGCUAACUACGUG